UGAUCAUCUCACCUGUGUCUAAUUGAG
RNAcentral lists this non-coding RNA (27 nucleotides) under Rattus norvegicus (Norway rat). The record is from RNAcentral. Lineage: Eukaryota; Metazoa; Chordata; Mammalia; Rodentia; Muridae.